UGCUGUGGCUCAGUUGGUAGAGCGUCGCCUUGGUAAGGCGGAGGUCACGAGUUCAAAUCUCGUCAGC
RNAcentral lists this transfer RNA (67 nucleotides) under bovine gut metagenome. It matches the Rfam family "tRNA". From Rfam's summary of the family: Transfer RNA (tRNA) molecules are approximately 80 nucleotides in length. Their secondary structure includes four short double-helical elements and three loops (D, anti-codon, and T loops). Further hydrogen bonds mediate the characteristic L-shaped molecular structure. tRNAs have two regions of fundamental functional importance: the anti-codon, which is responsible for specific mRNA codon recognition, and the 3' end, to which the tRNAs corresponding amino acid is attached (by aminoacyl-tRNA synthetases). tRNAs cope with the degeneracy of the genetic code in two manners: having more than one tRNA (with a specific anti-codon) for a particular amino acid; and 'wobble' base-pairing, i.e. permitting non-standard base-pairing at the 3rd anti-codon position. RNAcentral also lists the same sequence under 1 other name. The record is from RNAcentral.